Molecule: ribosomal RNA, 843 nt
Filed under: Metapochonia cordycipiticonsociata
Lineage: Eukaryota; Fungi; Ascomycota; Sordariomycetes; Hypocreales; Clavicipitaceae
Description: LSU rRNA
Rfam family: Eukaryotic large subunit ribosomal RNA
Source: RNAcentral
CAACAGGGAUUGCCCCAGUAACGGCGAGUGAAGCGGCAACAGCUCAAAUUUGAAAUCUGGCCCCUAGGGUCCGAGUUGUAAUUUGCAGAGGAUGAUUUUGGCGAGGUGCCUUCCGAGUUCCCUGGAACGGGACGCCACAGAGGGUGAGAGCCCCGUCUGGUUGGACGCCGAGCCUAUGUAAAUCUCCUUCGACGAGUCGAGUAGUUUGGGAAUGCUGCUCUAAAUGGGAGGUAUAUGUCUUCUAAAGCUAAAUAUUGGCCAGAGACCGAUAGCGCACAAGUAGAGUGAUCGAAAGAUGAAAAGCACUUUGAAAAGAGGGUUAAAUAGUACGUGAAAUUGUUGAAAGGGAAGCGCUCAUGACCAGACUUGGGCCCGGUGAAUCAUCCAGCGUUCUCGCUGGUGCACUUUGCCGGGCACAGGCCAGCAUCAGUUUGCCCCGGGGGAUAAAGGCUUUGGGAAUGUGGCUCCUCCGGGAGUGUUAUAGCCCAUUGCAUAAUAUCCUGGGGCGGACUGAGGUUCGCGCAUCUGCAAGGAUGCUGGCGUAAUGGUCAUCAGCGACCCGUCUUGAAACACGGACCAAGGAGUCGUCUUCGUAUGCGAGUGUUCGGGUGUAAAACCCCUACGCGUAAUGAAAGUGAACGCAGGUGAGAGCUUCGGCGCAUCAUCGACCGAUCCUGAUGUUCUCGGAUGGAUUUGAGUAAGAGCAUACGGGGCCGGACCCGAAAGAAGGUGAACUAUGCCUGUAUAGGGUGAAGCCAGAGGAAACUCUGGUGGAGGCUCGCAGCGGUUCUGACGUGCAAAUCGAUCGUCAAAUAUGGGCAUGGGGGCGAAAGACUAAUCGAA